RNAcentral lists this long non-coding RNA (2315 nucleotides) under Vitis vinifera (wine grape). Its description in RNAcentral is "long non-coding RNA (VVIN_LNC006582)". The record is from RNAcentral. Lineage: Eukaryota; Viridiplantae; Streptophyta; Magnoliopsida; Vitales; Vitaceae.
AAUUUAGUGUGUAGGAGCACCAUCAUUGUGAAGCCUAUAAUAUUAUGUUCUCAGUCCACUCAAUACAUUUGGGUAACCUUUAUCAUCUCAUAAGAACUCAAGUAUAAAUUUCUCUAUACUCUAUUGGUUUUAUCAUACUUCAGAGUAGGUGUAAAUUGUUAGCACCAGGAAAGUGUAGGACAUAUAGGAAUUGCGCACUUUUGAGGUUUGCUAACCCAACUUGUAUGAUGACUUAAAUUACGUAUCUGUAGAGCAUAACUCAAAUUGUACACUUUGAAAGCAUGACUGAAAUUCCACACCCUAAGAGAUUAAUUUAAACGGUGCAUCCAAAGGAGCGCAACCAAAAAUUGCACACCUUUAAGUGCGCAAUCAUUUCCCAAGGGAUGCCUACUUAUUCUCUUUUGUAUUAUUGUCCAAGCACGCCAUCCAUAAUAAAAAUCUUUAUUCUCUUAUGUAAACUUUUUGGAAGAAAAAUGCCUUCCCAAAUAAAACCAUAAUUGCUUAGAGACUUUUGUCCACCCCACCAUCAUAUCAAUUGAGGUAACCGAGAAGUCUUCUAAGUUUUAUAUAAAAGAAGUAAUUUUCACUAAAGUAGUCACUGCAAUAAAUACUAAAAUAAUCCAACGAAGCAUUCAGUGGAAUGAGCAUAUUAUAAAAUUGUACAUGGGAACCCGACAGUAAUUCAUAUCAAGAAAGUAGAUAGGGGAUAGUAAAUAUAGCUCACCAUGAAACCCCACCAUUAGAGCUCUGUACAGAAGUUCGAAUCCAGGCUUGUCUGCGAAAGGACUUGGAUCUACAUCAUCUCUGGUGACGCUUAAUAAAUAUGAAGUCAGCUCUUUAUGACCAUACCUAACAGCGCUGUGAAGAGGCGCAAAAUUGUGGCGUUGGCAGAUAUUGGGCAAGCUUGGGUUUCUGUUCACUAACAACUUGACUGCUUUUAUAUUGCCAGCCCUUGCAGCGUUGAAAAGGGUAGUGGCGCCAUCAGAAUCCCGCAGAGCCAGUGCCUCACUUGGCAUAAACUCAACGAACUUCUCCACGAAAUCCAUUCUGGCCUCUCCUAACUCAACUGCUAUGUGAAGCAUUGGGGAAUCAUCUGUUCCAAUCGGGGCGGAGAAUGAUUUGGGAUCAUCCGCCAAUAAUUUUGAAGCACUUUCCCAGUCACCAUUGAGCACAGCUUUGUACAGUUCCAAGUAAUAGAAUUCUGCAGUCACAAAACCAAAAGAUGUAUACCUCGCAGAGAAGAUACUCUCAUCCAAAGAGAAACAACAGCAGCCCCUUUUUCCCAGAGUCUUCAAAAGAUACAGGAAAUGGGCCAGGAACCAUUGAAGCAUAAGAGGUGCAAUGAUAGAGUCUUCCAAGUCAACUUUAUUUAGUUGAGUAUUGGGUCAGGAGUAGAUAUAGCGUUGAAACGUUAUGACUGGUGGAUGAUAGUCAUUCAAAAUAAACAAAGAAAAUUAGGGGGUAACUUUGAGCCGUUUGUUUUCGCAUGAUUUCUUCUGACUCUGUUGCUGGGCAUAGACCUCGACUGCCAUACAAGCACAGUCACCAGCGGCUGCCGUGGGAAUUAAUCCUAUGCACCACACAUUGCUAUGAUAGUUUACAAUAACUAAUUAUAUAAAAUCUGUUAAAAUAUUUUAUAUAAUUAACUUUUUGGAAUUUUUUUUUUAUCAAGUAGUAAAAUAAAGAAAAUUUAGGAAAAAAAUAUUUUUGAAAAAUGAUAAGUUUAAAAAAACGAUAAAGUUUUUGUAAAAUAUAGAAAAGGAUACAAGGCUAUUAAAUCAUAAUUAUAUGAUAACCUUUUAGUAUUUCAAUCUUUGAAUUUUUUUUGGAGAUUAUUUCCAUAAAUUCCACAUUCCAAAAACAAUGAUAAUCUUUACACAAUAUUAUUGUCAUAAAAAAUAAAAUUUUUUAAAAAAAUUAGAGAUUACAAAGAAUAUAAGGAUACGAAGAAUGUGAGAAUUGUCAUAUUUUUCGUACCCUCCUCACAUUCUUCAUGGCCCAACCCAUUUGAAUUUUUUUAUUUUUUUAUUUUUUUCAAACAUUAUUUACUUCACUUGCAAGUGUAAUUAGUGUUUUUACACAAUAUUAUUGUCAAAUGAAGUAAACAAAAAAAUCCUUAUUCUCUUAUGUAAACUUUUUGGAAGAAAAAUGCCUUCCCAAAUAAAACCAUAAUUGCUUAGAGACUUUUGUCCACCCCACCAUCAUAUCAAUUGAGGUAACCGAGAAGUCUUCUAAGUUUUAUAUAAAAGAAGUAAUUUUCACUUCCUUUUGCAUGCACUCAAACAAGAACACACACAAUAACGCAACAUGAAAAC